RNAcentral lists this ribosomal RNA (253 nucleotides) under uncultured bacterium. RNAcentral's name for it is "partial 16S ribosomal RNA". It matches the Rfam family "Bacterial small subunit ribosomal RNA", at positions 524 to 776 of the family's 1533-position model. The record is from RNAcentral.
UACAGGGGGUGCAAACGUUGCUCGGAAUCAUGGGGCGUAAAGCGCACGUAGGCGGUCUGUUAUGUCGGAUGUGAAAGCCCUUGGCUUAACUGAGGAAGUGCAUCCGAAACUGGCAGGCUAGAGUACUAAAGAGGGUCGCGGAAUUCCCGGUGUAGAGGUGAAAUUCGUAGAUAUCGGGAGGAACACCGGUGGCGAAGGCGGCGACCUGGGUAGAUACUGACGCUGAGGUGCGAAAGCGUGGGGAGCAAACGGG